UACGUAGGGCGCAAGCGUUAUCCGGAAUUAUUGGGCGUAAAGAGCUCGUAGGCGGUUUGUCGCGUCUGCCGUGAAAGUCCGGGGCUCAACUCCGGAUCUGCGGUGGGUACGGGCAGACUAGAGUGAUGUAGGGGAGACUGGAAUUCCAGGUGUAGCGGUGAAAUGCGUAGAUAUCUGGAGGAACACCGGUGGCGAAGGCGGCAUCCUGGACCGGCAUUGACGCUGAGGAGCGAAAGCCAGGGGAGCAAACGGG
RNAcentral lists this ribosomal RNA (253 nucleotides) under uncultured bacterium. RNAcentral describes it as "partial 16S ribosomal RNA". It matches the Rfam family "Bacterial small subunit ribosomal RNA", at positions 524 to 776 of the family's 1533-position model. The record is from RNAcentral.